This 1098-nucleotide long non-coding RNA is filed under the name Piliocolobus tephrosceles (Ugandan red Colobus). RNAcentral describes it as "lncRNA (ENSPTEG00000011155.1)". The record is from RNAcentral. Lineage: Eukaryota; Metazoa; Chordata; Mammalia; Primates; Cercopithecidae.
AAAAAUGUUAGAAAACAUGGGAGAAUGUUAUAUUUUUAUGAUACGAUUACUAUAAAAGAUAAGGAUAAUGAAAGUAAUAAUUUAAUUUUUUUUAAAAAUCAUUGUUUAAUUAGUAAUAGUAAAAAUAAUAUAAAUAAUAAUAAAGAGAAUGAUAAAGAUGUUAAAAAACAAAAAUAUUAUGUAAUUAAAAAUAAAGUUGAUAAACAAAGUAUUGCAGGAAACAGUAACAUUCAGUUAGUAAUUCAUAAAGAAUUUUACACUGAUGAUGAAAAAUUUAAUUUAUACCAACAACAUUUAAUGUUGAGUAAAACACAUGAAGAAAAAUAUAAAAGUGAAAAUGAAACAUCAUUAAACAUGAAUCCUUGGUAUUAUUCAAUAAAAUUAUGUAAGCAGUAUUAUAAAAAUUUAAAAGAAGAAAAAAAUAUUGAACAUAUUAAAGAAAGUUGUAUUGGGAAAAGUGAAGUAAAUGAAGUAAAGGUUGUUGAUAAUACUAUAUCAUUAUUAUUAUUAAAUGAAUAUAUAAAAUUUGAGAUUAUAAAUAAAAUUAUUAAAACAGACACAUUAGUAUACAUUAUUGGAUUGCCCGUUUUAACAAACACACAGGAAAAAUCGAUAUUAGUAUUUGCCUCUUAUUUGUUACAAGUAAAUUACGAAUAUUUUAAUAUUAGCCAAGUUUUAAAUUUGUUUGAAAAUAAUUAUUUUUCUAUGCUUACACUAUGCAAAAGUUUACGUGUUCAUGAUGCGUAUAUUUAUAAUCUGUAUAAUAAACAAGAGGAGUGCAAAAAAAAAAAACACAUAAUGGAUAUUGUAUAUAAACAUAAGGAUUAUACAAAUAUAAGUAAUCAGAAAAUGAAUAAUUUUGAAAUUUUUAUAAUAAAAAUAAUUGAUGUUUUACCAAAAUUAUUUGAAAUACAAUCAAGUGAUUUUAAAUAUGAUAUUGGCCAUAGUGAUGACAUUAAAAAAGAUAAAAAUUUUCUAAACGAUUUGAACUUGAGUAUAGUAAACGAAUAUUUAUCUGUUAAUGAUGCAGAUGUUAAAACAGAAAACUGUGGUGACGAGAUAGGGGAAAAUGACAAAAAUGACAACAUUGGUAUUGCA